This 595-nucleotide ribosomal RNA is filed under the name uncultured bacterium. Its description in RNAcentral is "bacterial SSU rRNA". It matches the Rfam family "Bacterial small subunit ribosomal RNA", at positions 104 to 677 of the family's 1533-position model. The record is from RNAcentral.
GGGUGAGUAACGCGUGGAUAAUCUACCCAUGAACCUGGGAUAACAGCGAGAAAUUGUUGCUAAUACCGGAUAAGCUCACGUACUGUAGGGGUAUGUGGGAAAAGGCGGCCUCUGGGACAAGCUGCCGUUUAUGGAUGAGUCUGCGUCCCAUUAGCUAGUUGGUGGGGUAAGGGCCUACCAAGGCGACGAUGGGUAGCCGGCCUGAGAGGGUGGCCGGCCACACUGGAACUGGAACACGGUCCAGACUCCUACGGGAGGCAGCAGUGGGGAAUAUUGCGCAAUGGGCGCAAGCCUGACGCAGCAACGCCGCGUGAGGGAAGAAGGUCUUCGGAUCGUAAACCUCUGUCUGGAGGGAAGAACGGCAUGGGGUCGAACAGGCUCUGUGAUUGACGGUACCUCCGAAGGAAGCACCGGCUAACUCCGUGCCAGCAGCCGCGGUAAUACGGAGGGUGCGAGCGUUAUUCGGAAUUACUGGGCGUAAAGGGCGUGUAGGCGGCUUUGUAAGUCAGAUGUGAAAGCCCACGGCUUAACCGUGGAACUGCAUUUGAAACUGCUUGGCUAGAGUACGGGAGAGGGUGGCGGUAUUUCCGGUGUA